GGCGAGUGAAGCGGCAACAGCUCAAAUUUGAAAUCUGGCUCUAUUUUAGAGUCCGAGUUGUAAUUUGCAGAGGGUGCUUUGGCGUUGGCAGCGGUCUAAGUUCCUUGGAACAGGACGUCACAGAGGGUGAGAAUCCCGUACGUGGUCGCCUGCCCUCGCCGUGUAAAGCCCCUUCGAUGAGUCGAGUUGUUUGAGAAUGCAGCUCUAAAUGGGAGGUAAAUUUCUUCUAAAGCUAAAUACUGGCCAGAGACCGAUAGCGCACAAGUAGAGUGAUCGAAAGAUGAAAAGCACUUUGGAAAGAGAGUCAAAUAGCACGUGAAAUUGUUGAAAGGGAAGCGCUUGCAGUCAGACUUGCCUACGGUUGCUCAUCCAGGCUUUUGCCUGGUGCACUCUUCCGUGGGCAGGCCAGCAUCAGUUUGGGCGACCGGACAAUGGCCUCUAUCACGUACCUCCUUUCGGGGAGGCCUUAUAGGGGAGGCGUAAUGCGGUCAGCCUGGACUGAGGUCCGCGCAUCUGCUAGGAUGCUGGCGUAAUGGCUGUAAGCGGCCCGUCUUGAAACACGGACCAAGGAGUCUAACAUCUAUGCGAGUGUUUGGGUGUCAAGCCCGAGCGCGUAAUGAAAGUGAACGGAGGUGGGAACCCUUUACGGGGUGCACCAUCGACCGAUCCUGAUGUCUUCGGAUGGAUUUGAGUAAGAGCAUAGCUGUUGGGACCCGAAAGAUGGUGAACUAUGCUUGAAUAGGGUGAAGCCAGAGGAAACUCUGGUGGAGGCUCGCAGCGGUUCUGACGUGCAAAUCGAUCGUCAAAUUUGGGC
Molecule: ribosomal RNA, 814 nt
Filed under: Medicopsis chiangmaiensis
Lineage: Eukaryota; Fungi; Ascomycota; Dothideomycetes; Pleosporales; Neohendersoniaceae
Description: eukaryotic LSU rRNA
Rfam family: Eukaryotic large subunit ribosomal RNA
Source: RNAcentral